RNAcentral lists this ribosomal RNA (252 nucleotides) under uncultured bacterium. RNAcentral's name for it is "partial 16S ribosomal RNA". It matches the Rfam family "Bacterial small subunit ribosomal RNA", at positions 524 to 776 of the family's 1533-position model. The record is from RNAcentral.
UACGGAGGAUGCGAGCGUUAUCCGGAUUUAUUGGGUUUAAAGGGUGCGUAGGCGGGCUUUUAAGUCAGCGGUAAAAUUGAGAGGCUCAACCUCUUCCCGCCGUUGAAACUGGUGGUCUUGAGUGGAUGAGAAGUACGCGGAAUGCGUGGUGUAGCGGUGAAAUGCAUAGAUAUCACGCAGAACUCCGAUUGCGAAGGCAGCGUACCGGCAUCCAACUGACGCUGAGGCACGAAAGCGUGGGGAUCAAACAGG